RNAcentral lists this ribosomal RNA (800 nucleotides) under Halomonas sp. RNAcentral's name for it is "bacterial SSU rRNA". It matches the Rfam family "Bacterial small subunit ribosomal RNA", at positions 51 to 853 of the family's 1533-position model. Lineage: Bacteria; Pseudomonadati; Pseudomonadota; Gammaproteobacteria; Oceanospirillales; Halomonadaceae. The record is from RNAcentral.
ACACAUGCAGUCGAGCGGUAACAGGUCCUUCGGGAUGCUGACGAGCGGCGGACGGGUGAGUAAUGCAUAGGAAUCUGCCCGGUAGUGGGGGAUAACCUGGGGAAACCCAGGCUAAUACCGCAUACGUCCUACGGGAGAAAGGGGGCUUCGGCUCCCGCUAUUGGAUGAGCCUAUGUCGGAUUAGCUGGUUGGUGAGGUAAUGGCUCACCAAGGCGACGAUCCGUAGCUGGUCUGAGAGGAUGAUCAGCCACAUCGGGACUGAGACACGGCCCGAACUCCUACGGGAGGCAGCAGUGGGGAAUAUUGGACAAUGGGGGCAACCCUGAUCCAGCCAUGCCGCGUGUGUGAAGAAGGCCCUCGGGUUGUAAAGCACUUUCAGCGAGGAAGAACGCCUGGCGGUUAAUACCCGCCAGGAAAGACAUCACUCGCAGAAGAAGCACCGGCUAACUCCGUGCCAGCAGCCGCGGUAAUACGGAGGGUGCAAGCGUUAAUCGGAAUUACUGGGCGUAAAGCGCGCGUAGGUGGCUUGAUAAGCCGGUUGUGAAAGCCCCGGGCUCAACCUGGGAACGGCAUCCGGAACUGUCAGGCUAGAGUGCAGGAGAGGAAGGUAGAAUUCCCGGUGUAGCGGUGAAAUGCGUAGAGAUCGGGAGGAAUACCAGUGGCGAAGGCGGCCUUCUGGACUGACACUGACACUGAGGUGCGAAAGCGUGGGUAGCAAACAGGAUUAGAUACCCUGGUAGUCCACGCCGUAAACGAUGUCGACCAGCCGUUGGGUGCCUAGCGCACUUUGUGGCGAAGUU